Molecule: ribosomal RNA, 253 nt
Filed under: uncultured bacterium
Lineage: Bacteria
Description: partial 16S ribosomal RNA
Rfam family: Bacterial small subunit ribosomal RNA
Source: RNAcentral
GACAGAGGGUGCUAGCGUUGUUCGGAUUCAUUGGGCGUAAAGGGUGCGUAGGUGGCGCCGUAAGUCAGGUGUGAAAUUUCGGAGCUUAACUCCGAAACUGCAUUCGAUACUGCCGUGCUUGAGGACUGGAGAGGAGACUGGAAUUUACGGUGUAGCGGUGAAAUGCGUAGAUAUCGUAAGGAAGACCAGUGGCGAAGGCGGGUCUCUGGACAGUUCCUGACGCUGAGGCACGAAGGUCAGGGGAGCAAACGGG